GUUGCGGAAAGGAUCGUUUCGAGAACUCCGAUAUGACUACAAGUAAAUUGACCGGAACGAAAAAAAUAAAGUGAACACAAGGAUUUACGUGGUUCGGCUUUAAUGCCUACGUCCACGGGCAGAGGCGAAAAGAAAUUUCACUAUAACAAGAUGAAGAUUACAAGUGUUUUACACUCAAGACACAACCCGAGAACCUCACAACUCUCAACCCCUAUAGAAAACCCGAAAGCUAAAAUCCUAGCUUUCAAAGAACAAGCUUUGCUCUCUCUUGGUUUGGGAUGAUCAAUAUGGCUAAUGAACCUCUCUAUUUAUAAGAGAGUUCAAGGACAUAAUUGUCCAAAACUUUGGCAAAGAUUUGUGGUUGAAAAUGGACACCAACAACCAUCCACUAAUCCACUACCACCAACAACCCACUACCAACAACAACAAUCCACUACCAAUUUUAAGCCAUUUCUUAACAAAUCUCCACCUUGGCUUGAAAUUUACCAAGCUGAACAUCAUAGUGAACUGGAUCACCUCUUCCAAACGCCUCUCUGGCGCUAAUCAAUCCCGAAUACCUAUCAAGUCCAAGCAAUGCUUGAACUUAUAUGCAGGGAUCACCUUAGUUAACAUAUCUGCAGGAUUCUUCUCGGUAGCAACCUUGCUGAUAACAAUGUCACCUUGCGUAACAUGUUCCCGAACAAAAUGAUAUCUGACAUCAAUGUGUUUGGUCCGUUCAUGAAACAUCUGAUUUUUAGUCAGAUGUAUGGCACUCUGGCUAUCGCAAAAUACAACAGUGAAAUCCUGUUGUAAACCCAAACUGCUUACUAGACCUUUCAUCCACAAUGCUUCUUUCACUGCUUCUGCUAACGCCAUAUAUUCCGCCUCAGUCGUAGAUAAGGCUACGGUAGACUGUAACACAGCUUUCCAACUAAUGGCUCCUCCAGAAUAAGUGAAAACAUAACCCGUCAGAGAUCUUCUUUUGUCCAGAUCUCCAGCAUAAUCAGAGUCCACAUAGCCCGUGACACUGCUAGUGCAGUCACUCUGAUCAUAUACCAAGCAUAAAUCUGCAGAACCUCUCAAGUACCUGAGAAUCCAUUUCACGGCCUGCCAGUGUUCCUUGCCAGGACAACUCAUGUAUCUGCUGACCACACUAACUGCAUGUGAAAUGUCUGGACGAGUGCAAACCAUUGCAUACAUCACGCUUCCAACUGCACUCGAGUAUGGAAUGUGAGACAUUUGCUGCUUUUCUUCAUCAGAUUGUGGUGACAACUCUGCAGAGAGUUUGAAAUGUGGUGCCAACGGAGUACUCACAGUUUUCGCUUUAUCCAUGCCGAAGCGUUGAAGAACCUUUUCAAUGUAGUUCUUCUGCGACACACGAAGCUUGCCCGCCUUGCGAUCUCUGUGAAUAUCCAUGCCCAAAAUUUUCUUGGCAGCACCCAGAUCCUUCAUCUCGAACUCACCACUCAACUGCGACUUUAACUUGUUGAUUUCCGACAUGUUUUUGGAAGCAAUUAACAUGUCAUCAACAUACAGCAACAAAUAAAUGUGCGAACCAUCUGAGAGCUUCCGAUGAUAGACACAAGCAUCAUAGUCACAUCUUGUGUAACCAUGCUGAAUCAUGAAGCUAUCAAACCGCUUGUACCACUGCCUUGGGGAUUGUUUCAAUCCAUAUAAAGACUUCUUUAAUAGACAGACAUGGUCUUCUUUACCAGGAACUGUAAAACCCUCUGGUUGACGCAUGUAGAUUGUUUCCUCGAGCUCACCAUGCAAGAACGCCGUUUUUACGUCAAGCUGCUCAAGUUCUAGAUCAGACUUGGCCACCAUGGCAAGUAAUACACGAAUGGAAGAAUGCUUUACGACUGGGGAGAAAACUUCAUUGUAGUCAAUCCCCUCUUUCUGAGUGAAGCCUUUAGCAACCAAUCGUGCCUUGAAUCUAGUUGCUUCAACCCCUAGGAUGCCUUCCUUUUUCUUGAAGACCCAUUUGCAACCAACUAUCUUCUGGUUACUUGGCGGCUUAACCAACUCCCAAGUAUGGUUCUUGUGAAGAGAUUCUAUCUCCUCACUCAUAGCAAUUGCCCACUGUGCCGACUCAUCACACGUGACAGCCUCAUUAUAACUGGAAGGUUCUAUACCAAUGGACUCCGCCACACUGAGCGCGAAAGACACCAGAUUAGCGUAACGCGGAUUUGGUUUGAUUUGUCUCUUCGUUCUUCCAGUGGCAAUGCUAUAUGGUUUUUCUUGAGGUGACUCAUCUUCAUCGGAAUCUUGCACCUCAACUUGAUCAUCCUGGACUGAAGUACCUUCCGUAGGAAUUGGAGCGUCCACCUGACACUCCACCUGCUUCUCAACACCGUGAUCUCCCAUUCUAUCUGACUCCUCCUUUUCCCGGGAAUUUGUGGUGGAUCGAAGCAUGGAUGACUCAUCAAAAGUCACAUCUCUGCUGAUGAUGAACUUGGACGAAACCGGAUCAGGACACCACAACCUGUAUCCUUUCACCCCUUGGCCGUAUCCAAGAAAUAUGCAUUUCUUCGCCCUCGGUUUGAGUUUUCCCUCAUUUACAUGAGCAUACGCAGGGCAGCCAAACACUCUUAAACCAGAGUAAUCAGCAGGAGAACCAGACCAUACUUCCUCAGGAGUCUUCAGCUCAAUAGCUGUUGACGGAGAUCUGUUAACCAAAUAACAAGCAGUAUUAACAGCUUCAGCCCAAAAUUCUUCACCGAGCCCAGCAUUUGAUCGCAUGCAACGAGCUCGCUCCAAGAGAGUUCUAUUCAUGCGUUCUGCAACUCCAUUUUGUUGUGGUGUUCGACGAACAGUGCGGUGUCUCACUAUUCCUUCAUUUUUGCAGAACUCAUUGAAUUCACCUGAGCAAAACUCCAAGCCAUUAUCCGUCCGGAAUCGCUUGAUCUUCUUUCCUGUUUGAUUUUCGAUCAAAGCUUUAAAUUGCUUGAAGUUGAUGAGAACCUCAUACUUGCUCUUCAGAAAAUACACCCAAACCUUUCUCGAGUAAUCAUCGAUAAAGGUAAGCAGAUAUCUGUAACCACCUUUAGAAAUUGUCGGAGAAGGCCCCCAAAGGUCAGAAUGGAAGUAAUACACUGUGCCUUUUGUCUUGUGAAUCCCAGUGCUGAACUUUACCCGAGUCUGCUUACCGAAGACGCAGUGCUCACAGAAAUUCAACUUUCCUGUACACUGCCCAGACAAUAAUCCUCGUUUGCUUAGCACCGAUAAGCCUCUCUCGCUCAUAUGCCCGAGCCGCAUAUGCCAUAACUUCGUGGUGUCAGAAUCUAGAUCAUCUGAUGAUGACACUCCCGCAACACCUGUAACCGAGGAACCAUCGAGGAAGUAAAGGCCCCGCUCCAAAUUACCACGUAUCACAGUCAAAGCACCCGAGAAUACCUUGAGAACUCCACCUUCAGCAGAGUACCGAAAGCCUUUCUUGUCCAACGUACUCAAAGAGAUCAAAUUUUUCUUCAUUUCUGGAAUGUGCCGAACAUCAGUUAGAGUUCUAACAAUACCGUCAAACAUCUUUAUACGAACUGUGCCAAUCCCCAUGACUUGACAUGCGUGGUCAUUUCCCAUUAGUACUGAACCAGAAUGCUUCUCGUAUGUUGAGAAUGCAUCUUUCGAAGUACUUAUAUGAAAUGUAGCUCCCGUAUCAAGAAUCCAUCUCCCACCAGCGUAAGAGUCGGAUACUGCAAGAACGAUCUCGGCAUCACUUGAAGAAUCUGCAUCAGCUACAUUCGCACGAUCAUUUUGUUGCUCCUGUGAUUCUGAUUUCUCCUUCCUUUUCGGACAAUCUACCUUCAUGUGCCCGUACUUCUUACAGUAGUAGCACUGUAUUCUCUUCUUGGACUGCGAUCUAGGAUGGCUUUUACUUGAACUUCCACCCUUUGCCUUGGAUCUUCCUCGAGCAACCAAGCCUUCGCCUUCAUUGUUUUCGACCACCUUACCAGUGAUUUUCUUCCUCAACUCACUGGAACUUAAGGCAUUUUUCACCUCCUCUAGAGUCAGGUCAUCACGACCGUACAUCAUUGUAUCAACAAAAUUCUCAUACGAGGGAGGCAAAGAACACAAAACAAUUAUUGCUUGGUCCUCAUCAUCGAUUUUGUUAUCGAUAUUAUUCAAAUCCAUGAUAAUGGAAUUGAAUUUAUCCAGGUGCUGGGAAACAGGUGUACCUUCCUCCAUCUUCAGGGCAUAGAGUCUUUGCUUGAGGUAGAGCCGGUUCGUCAAUGACUUCGUCAUGUACUUGCUCUCUAACCGGAGCCACAAACCGGACGCGGUUUUCUCAUCCGCUACUUCUCGUAGCACUUCAUCUCCUAGACAUAGCAGAAUAGCACUAUGUGCUCUUUCUAGCAUGUCAUCCUUUUGCUCUUCCGAAAGCGUGCUUGGUAAUUUAUCUUUACCAGACAAUGCUUUUAGCAAUCCUUGUUGAACCAGCACUGCCCGCAUCUUGAUGCGCCAUAAACUGAAACUAUUUUUCCCGGUAAAUUUCUCGACAUCAUACUUAGUCGAUGAAACACUUGUAGCCAUAAUUUGGAACCUUUGAAUGAAUGAUAAUAUUUUCUUCCUGAUGUGAAAGAUCAGACAAAGCUGCAGUCACAGGGCAAUUCAGAAAAUAUUAUCACUCCUUCAACUACGCUCUGAUACCAAUUUGUUGCGGAAAGGAUCGUUUCGAGAACUCCGAUAUGACUACAAGUAAAUUGACCGGAACGAAAAAAAUAAAGUGAACACAAGGAUUUACGUGGUUCGGCUUUAAUGCCUACGUCCACGGGCAGAGGCGAAAAGAAAUUUCACUAUAACAAGAUGAAGAUUACAAGUGUUUUACACUCAAGACACAACCCGAGAACCUCACAACUCUCAACCCCUAUAGAAAACCCGAAAGCUAAAAUCCUAGCUUUCAAAGAACAAGCUUUGCUCUCUCUUGGUUUGGGAUGAUCAAUAUGGCUAAUGAACCUCUCUAUUUAUAAGAGAGUUCAAGGACAUAAUUGUCCAAAACUUUGGCAAAGAUUUGUGGUUGAAAAUGGACACCAACAACCAUCCACUAAUCCACUACCACCAACAACCCACUACCAACAACAACAAUCCACUACCAAUUUUAAGCCAUUUCUUAAC
This 5091-nucleotide long non-coding RNA is filed under the name Gossypium barbadense (sea-island cotton). RNAcentral describes it as "long non-coding RNA (GBAR_LNC014602)". The record is from RNAcentral. Lineage: Eukaryota; Viridiplantae; Streptophyta; Magnoliopsida; Malvales; Malvaceae.